AUGGCGUACCCUCUCCUUCUCCUUCUCAUGGUGCUCCUCCUCCUCGCCUCCCCCGCCAUUUCAUCCACCAAGAGAACUCAGCAGCCAAAGUUCCCGGCCAUCUUCUACUUCGGCGACUCCAUCUUCGACACGGGCAACAACAACCACAUCCCGACUCUGGGCCUGGCGAACCACCCUCCAUACGGGAGGGACUUCCCAGGGAGCAGGCCGACGGGGAGGUUCUCCGAUGGCCGGCUCGUCCCGGACCUCCUCAACGAGAGGCUGCAGCUCAAGGAGUUCGCGCCGCCGUUCCUGGACAGAAGCCUGUCCGACAAGGACAUCGUGACGGGGGUGAACUUCGCGUCUGCCGGGUCGGGGUUCGACGACCGGACGUCGCACCUGGCCAACACCAUGCCAUUGUCGGCGCAGGUAGACCUCUUCAGGGAGGAGUACCUUCCUCGCCUCAGGAGCAUCGCCGGGGACAAGGAGGCUGCCAGGAUCAUUGCCAGCUCUCUGAUAUUUAUCAACUCAGGAACCAAUGAUUUCACUCAUUACUACCGUACAUCAAGGAGGAGGGUGGGCAUUGGUGAAUACCAAGACACUGUGCUCCAGUUGGCGCGUGCUCAUGUCAAGGAGCUGUAUAACCUCGGGGGGCGGCAGUUUAUCUUGGCAGGCCUUCCUCCAUUUGGCUGCAUACCCUUGCAGAUCACAUUGAGUGGAGACCUUGAGAGGGGCUGUGUGGAUGAGCAGAACAGUGAGGCCCAGGUCUACAACUCCAAACUUGAGAGGUUGCUUCGAACAUUGCAAGGCUCACUCAAAGGAAGCAAAAUUGUGUACUUGAAUGCGUACGAAGCUUUCACGGUGAUCCUUCAGCGCACCAAUAAAUAUGGAUUCACAGAGACAACACUGGGAUGUUGUGGGACUGGGCUCACAGAGGUCGGAAUACUUUGCAACAUAUUUACCCCUAUCUGCAGGAAUGUGUCAUCCUAUAUAUUUUAUGAUGCGGUGCACCCGACAGAGAGGGUUUAUAGGAUAGCAACCGAUUACAUAGUGAAAAAUGUAAUUCCACAGUUUUAA
Molecule: ribosomal RNA, 1056 nt
Filed under: Triticum aestivum (bread wheat)
Lineage: Eukaryota; Viridiplantae; Streptophyta; Magnoliopsida; Poales; Poaceae
Description: partial small subunit ribosomal RNA
Source: RNAcentral